This 1366-nucleotide long non-coding RNA is filed under the name Gallus gallus (chicken). RNAcentral's name for it is "lncRNA (ENSGALG00010004789.1)". Lineage: Eukaryota; Metazoa; Chordata; Aves; Galliformes; Phasianidae. The record is from RNAcentral.
GUGAAUUUCAUAAUCCUUAUGACAGAAUUUACCACUAAAUUGCUGCUGUUGUUACAGCUGCAGGAAGACUAGGGGCCUUGAUCCAAAACUCAGCACUAAAAAAGAUCUGGGAACUCAAUACUAGAAAUGAUGUGGGAACGUCAGCCCCGCAGAGGAGCCUAAGAGGGAGAAGGAGGACAUCUGUUUACCUCUGCCUGCACCUUUUCUGGAGAGCUGGAAGGACACAGCAGCCAAAGCCACAGGUCAAAGGCAGCACAGCACAUCCAACCAAGGAGGUGCUUUCAUUACACUGCACAUCUUGAAGACACGUCGGUGGGAUCGUUGGCACCCACACAUCCCUGAUCCAGACUGAUCUCUGGGGAGCACAGAGCUGCUGUGCCACAUGUUCAGGAAAGCCAGAUGUCGGCAAUAGUUUUCCAAGAGGGGAAUACCCAAAAAGAGCUUUCAAGACUGCGCCCAAAAGAAAUACCUAAGCACAGAUAUGAUGCUAACUUGAAAAACAAAAAGAAAAGGAAUCCCAUUUGGAGCCAAGCUGAAGCCACACAGGAACAACUCAGCAAUACAUAAUGCAAAGGAUUCCAGUGGAUUUGCAAGCAGGAGGAUGAAAUAAGACAGAAAACAGUAGAGAGAAUUCUGGUAUUUCCAUGGAUAUUGAUCUUUUAUUCAUGCUACUGCUAAUGUUGGUCUCACGUUGAUGGAGAUGCAACAAAGAUAAAACAGAGACCCUGAGUCCUACUCAUGUCCCUACGAUUGUCUCUGUAUUUUAUCCAUCAACAUCUGAAUGCUAAUCACUCAAAAAUCCUGAGAGCGGAGACAGACUCCAAGGGCUUCCCCUCAGAAGGCCUAGAGUCACAGUCUGCCUUGUGCUUUCUGCGAUGCCCCUUCAGCGUCAUGUCCCUUCAUUCAUAGCUGGACAGUGUGAGCCAAAGUGGAGGAGAUGUCUUUUCAGCCACACCUGGUAGAAGAAAUCUGCAACCGUGGCACUUGACACAGAUCCUCUUUGACGUUGAACUGACAAGUUACUUGCAGAGUUUGAAUGGAGCAAAGGGAAAUUUUUCCAGAGGAAGCUACAAAUUUGCAGCAACUGCCAAGGAGGUGUGCAGCCAGUGCAAAGGUGUUACAUCCAGAGGUGCUAAGUACCUGAGCUCCUUCCUGACACCAGUGGGGCAGAAUGCUCUGCAUCUCUCUGAAGCUCUGUGUCUGGACCUCUCUCAGCUGACCCAUGGUUCUUUGUACCUUCUUGCUCCCUGCCUUGGCACCCAGGGCCACAGUUUAUAAAUGCACAGGGUCCAACUCUGCCCCGUCCCCUUGUUGCUGCUGCUGCUGGAACUAUUCACUUUUGGAUGUCUUGCUGAGAGAAGCUUUG